RNAcentral lists this ribosomal RNA (494 nucleotides) under Pseudomonas sp. Hu105B. RNAcentral's name for it is "bacterial SSU rRNA". It matches the Rfam family "Bacterial small subunit ribosomal RNA", at positions 37 to 525 of the family's 1533-position model. Lineage: Bacteria; Pseudomonadati; Pseudomonadota; Gammaproteobacteria; Pseudomonadales; Pseudomonadaceae. The record is from RNAcentral.
GGCAUGGCGGGGGGCUACCAUGCAGUCGAGCGGAUGAAGGGAGCUUGCUCCUGGAUUCAGCGGCGGACGGGUGAGUAAUGCCUAGGAAUCUGCCUGGUAGUGGGGGAUAACGUCCGGAAACGGGCGCUAAUACCGCAUACGUCCUGAGGGAGAAAGUGGGGGAUCUUCGGACCUCACGCUAUCAGAUGAGCCUAGGUCGGAUUAGCUAGUUGGUGGGGUAAAGGCCUACCAAGGCGACGAUCCGUAACUGGUCUGAGAGGAUGAUCAGUCACACUGGAACUGAGACACGGUCCAGACUCCUACGGGAGGCAGCAGUGGGGAAUAUUGGACAAUGGGCGAAAGCCUGAUCCAGCCAUGCCGCGUGUGUGAAGAAGGUCUUCGGAUUGUAAAGCACUUUAAGUUGGGAGGAAGGGCAGUAAGUUAAUACCUUGCUGUUUUGACGUUACCAACAGAAUAAGCACCGGCUAACUUCGUGCCAGCAGCGGCCGGUAAUA